Molecule: long non-coding RNA, 619 nt
Organism: Tarenaya hassleriana
Lineage: Eukaryota; Viridiplantae; Streptophyta; Magnoliopsida; Brassicales; Cleomaceae
Exons: 2
Source: RefSeq, a predicted model, not a curated record
CCCUAAAUAACAAUCUCACAUUCAGAACCUCUCUCCUCUCCUCUCCUCUCCUCUGGUGAGAUGAGCUCCGGCGUGGUUCCGACUCGUGUCGAUGUUGCUCUGGCGUGGUUCCUGGUCGUCUCGGUGGUUCGCUCCUGCUUUUGAUUGAGGAAUAGGGUUCCGAAGGCCAUGGCUUCACACUUAGGCCUCCGCCAUUGUCGUCUUCUUCAUCUUCUCUUUCUUCUUCGUUAAAAGGAAGGUGGAAGGAGCUGUUGGGCUUCAAGAGAGACCACGUUGGAUCCAAGAAAGCUCAUAAGAUCAGUGAGGAGAGAUUUGUUCACUCGGAUAACAAACAAUCUCAGGAAGGAGAGUUCUCAACUUGGAACGAAACGGAUAGUGGCAUGCAGUGAACCCGGAUUUUGUCCUAGGAUGAUGUUUAGUUCACUGAUUUUAAGUUAGAUUUUGUUAAUCUUAGAUCUAAAAAAAAGAUUGUUAGAAUCUUGUUAAUGGCAGUGGCCGAGAUGAUUUUUCCAUUGACUCUUUCCACUUUUCAUGUUUUUGUCGAAUCUGGUCAGGUAUUUUACUUUCUAAGAAAAUAUAUAUAUAUAAUGGUGAAAUCAUUAUCUGGGUAUUGUUCGAA